GAUAGAUAGGAAGAUAUAUGGAAAUACUACUACUAUAUCUAUUAUGCCAUCAAAUGCAAAGUAUGCAUGGAACAUCAUCUAGCAACAAUCUACUAUCAUGCUAAUAUGCCUCAACAGUGAAAUAAAUACAACAACAACAUAGUUAUGCAAUGCACUAUGUCUAAUCAAGGUAUGAAUGCAAUACUCUUAUGCUAUUCAUGUUAUUACCCAAUCCGCUAGGCUAACUUGCCUAAGAUCUCAAAUCUAGUAGGUGAAGAGCUACCUCACUCUUGUCUCACUCGACUCAUAUCUCAAAGGUCUGACCCAAUCUCGUGAGUCCCAGGCAAAGAGCUACCCCGCCCCUCGCCCGACUCACAUCUCAAGGUCCUAGACAAAGGCUACCCCGCACUUUGCCCGACUCACAUCUCGACCUACUAAGUACAGGGCUACUCCACUCAAAUCUCAUAGGUGAACAACAGCAACAACUAUGAAAGCAAGCUAUCAUGAACAACAAUAAUGAGUAUGACUCAAUAGGUACUCAAAUCUCAUAGGUGAAGGAAUAGUAUAUCAUGAAGGCAUGAGCAAUAAGUAAGCUACUAUGAACACUAGUAAGCUACUAUGAACAACAACAACAACUAUGGAAGCAAGCUAUCAUGAACAACAAUAAUGAGUAUGACUCAAUAGGUAACCAAAUCUCGUGGUGAACACAAGGUUCACAAGCAAGGCUCACAUAUCAAUCUCCUAGAGAUGCCUAGCUGGUCGAUCCCCGAGUACGCCUGCGGAUAACAAGCGGCUAUCCGAGCAGCAAGCAGGGCUGCCUCUCUAGUGACCAAACUCCGGAGCGCACAACCUGAGGGGAGCGACCCCACCAAGCGCAGACAGGCAAUGUGAGCGUGAUCAUCUCACGAGCAACAGCAACCUACCCUCUAAGGGUAAUCUCAUCAUGGAAUCAAGGUGUUCUUGUACCCAAUCUCAUAGUGUUUCAACUACACUAAGGUUCUCAUGUCAAGGUUAUCAACAAUCAUAUGCCACUCAUCAUAGUUUUCUAAACUAGAUGCCACUCGACAUUUAGACUCAUUUCAACACUAGUUACAUCAUACUAGUUCUUUAGCAACAUAAGCAUUAAUCACCUCACAUAGGGUCUAGGUCUUUAUCAUAAAGUUUUCAUCAUAUAAUCAUCAUGCAUACUAGAUCAUGGAUCAAUCAUCAAGAUGUAUAGCUACUAGCAUGCAAAUAUGAGCAAUGACCACAAUCAUUUAGCAUCUAAAUGCAAUAAAUACGAUAUGCAACUUGAUCGAUUAAUGUACUCAACUAAGGUUUAAUCUACAUUAAUCAUGCCCUUAUAGGGUUUCACCACACUAAGUCCCAAUCUCAUGCAUACUAGGUACAAGUAUUAAUCAAGUAACACUACA
This 1391-nucleotide long non-coding RNA is filed under the name Ananas comosus (pineapple). Its description in RNAcentral is "long non-coding RNA (ACOM_LNC028082)". Lineage: Eukaryota; Viridiplantae; Streptophyta; Magnoliopsida; Poales; Bromeliaceae. The record is from RNAcentral.